CCAGUUUUAAGUUCUGUUGUUGUUGUGGAUUACCACUGACUACCAGAGGAAUUUGAUCUUCAGGUUAUCAGGACACGGUGUGGAAUCCUCAAUAUUUUGAUAGUAAAGAUGAUAUACAGACGUGCUGAAAAAGUGCAUCUGUUUUUCAAAGAUAGGAGAGUCUCAGCCUGUUGGAUUUGCAGCACGUGGACAUAUUUAGAUAGAUGCAGUAUAUCCUGGGGUUUACAUUUAUUUACACUUGCAUGUAAAAUCUUUCCUGAUCCUUCCACUCAGGAGAUAUUUCUGAAACUUCAGGAUUGCAGGUAA
This 306-nucleotide long non-coding RNA is filed under the name Serinus canaria (Common canary). RNAcentral's name for it is "lncRNA (ENSSCAG00000014349.1)". The record is from RNAcentral. Lineage: Eukaryota; Metazoa; Chordata; Aves; Passeriformes; Fringillidae.